This 884-nucleotide ribosomal RNA is filed under the name Xylographa constricta. Its description in RNAcentral is "bacterial SSU rRNA". It matches the Rfam family "Eukaryotic small subunit ribosomal RNA", at positions 70 to 870 of the family's 1831-position model. Lineage: Eukaryota; Fungi; Ascomycota; Lecanoromycetes; Baeomycetales; Xylographaceae. The record is from RNAcentral.
CAAUCUAUACGGUGAAACUGCGAAUGGCUCAUUAAAUCAGUUAUCGUUUAUUUGAUAGUACCUCACUACUUGGAUAACCGUGGUAAUUCUAGAGCUAAUACAUGCUAAAAACCUCGACUUCGGAAGGGGUGUAUUUAUUAGAUAAAAAACCAAUGCCCUUCGGGGCUCCUUGGUGAUUCAUAAUAACUUAACGAAUCGCAUGGCCUUGCGCCGGCGAUGGUUCAUUCAAAUUUCUGCCCUAUCAACUUUCGAUUGUAGGAUAGUGGCCUACAAUGGUGGCAACGGGUAACGGGGAAUUAGGUUUGCAGCACCACCCCCCGAUGUCGACGGGUCACCCGCUAACAUGGCAACCAGGGUUCUAUUCCGGAGAGGGAGCCUGAGAAACGGCUACCACAUCCAAGGAAGGCAGCAGGCGCGCAAAUUACCCAAUCCCGACACGGGGAGGUACGCAGCCCAUUCCACGCCUAUUUCCGGCCGAACCUCUCGCUAACUUUCAAUUAUAGGUAGUGACAAUAAAUACUGAUAUAGGGCUCUUUUGGGUCUUGUAAUUGGAAUGAGUACAAUUUAAAUCCCUUAACGAGGAACAAUUGGAGGGCAAGUCUGGUGCCAGCAGCCGCGGUAAUUCCAGCUCCAAUAGCGUAUAUUAAAGUUGUUGCAGUUAAAAAGCUCGUAGUUGAACCUUGGGCUUGGCUGUCCGGUCCGCCUCACCGCGUGCACUGGUUCGGCCGAGCCUUUCCUUCUGGGGAGCCGCAUGCCCUUCACUGGGUGUGUCGGGGAACCAGGACUUUUACUUUGAAAAAUUAGAGUGUUCAAAGCAGCCUAUGCUCGAAUACAUUAGCAUGAAUAUAGAUAGGACGUGUGKUCUAUUUGUGGUUCUAGACGCG